AAUACCGCGUGAGUGAUGAAGGUCUUCGGAUCGUAAAGCUCUGUUGUCAGGGAAGAACACGUGCCGUAUGAAUAAGGCGGCACCUUGACGGUACCUGACGAGGAAGCCCCGGCUAACUACGUGCCAGCACCUGCGGUGACUGAGCGGGCUGGCAAGGCGCAUA
This 163-nucleotide ribosomal RNA is filed under the name uncultured bacterium. Its description in RNAcentral is "partial 16S ribosomal RNA". It matches the Rfam family "Bacterial small subunit ribosomal RNA", at positions 393 to 539 of the family's 1533-position model. The record is from RNAcentral.